RNAcentral lists this long non-coding RNA (292 nucleotides) under Rosa chinensis. Its description in RNAcentral is "sRNA RchiOBHm_Chr4g0433551". Lineage: Eukaryota; Viridiplantae; Streptophyta; Magnoliopsida; Rosales; Rosaceae. The record is from RNAcentral.
CUUUUACGACAGAAACCAGAGAGAGAUAGAGAGAGAGAGAUCUUCCGGCCUUCCGGCGCCUAUUCCGACAAUUUCCAACAGCAAAAAUGGGCGACAUACCGAACUCUUGCUCGAUGAAGAAACUCGUAUGCGUGAUCACCUGAAUAGUACUUUUGCAGGCGAAAUUAGUUGAGGUCGGGCGUACAUUGGAGUUGAGGCAUAGUCAACUACAUGGCUUACUCAUUUUUAUUUGAUUUAGGUUUUCCUUGAUUACCCUUGCUGUUAGAAUUGCUCUGAUUACCUGAGGAAAUUA